AGAAGGGUAUAGUAUUACAUAUACUGGAUUUGGACUGCAUCUAACUCUUGUUCUUGCCGGUUUACUCUGUGAGUUGACUUAACUCCUUUUGAUUAAUAGCACACUCAUGUUCCCCAAAAAAGUGGAGUAAUAUGUGCAUGUAGGUUUUGGUUAAUUAUUUUCUGUGUGGGCAUAUUUUAUGGAAAUUACUUUUGAAGUGAAGGCAAACACAUGCAAUUUUGUUAACUGAAAUGCAAAAUAAAUGAAGCAAACAAUAAAACGUGGUGUAUUUUCAUAACUGUUUGUUGAAUAAGUGUAUGCUUAUUUCCUUUUUACUUGAUUUGAAAUAUUUUAGUAGUCAUUUUCUCAUGGAUAGAUAUCUGUACUUCAUUUAAAUAAUUAGUCCAAAGGCAUGACGAGCAGGUAUUGUUACGUUUCUCAAAAAUAGAAAGAGAAAACAUAAUUAUUCUGGGUUCCAUUUUCUAUAAUUCCAUACAAUAAUUUCAUGAUCUAAGCUUUAGCAUCAAUUUCUUUGACAAAACAAACGGCAAGUUUUAAGUCUGAACUGGACUGUUGCCGGUGCAUGUUUCUUACAUGAACUUUCUUGGGAACAUAUAAUCUUGUACAUGCAGAUACUGCAGUUUACGCAUGCUGAUAAGGCCCAUUUCAAUCUUUUUGUUUCUACAUGGUUCUCGUGCAUUUACAAAUGGAUCUUUAGAGAUCUUUAUGAAUCAGAAAAACCCCGAUACUGUGUAUUUUUUAUGGAAAAUCCAAAAGUAUGUUCUUAUUUUGGUUAUUUCUUACUACUCCCUCCGUUCCAAAUUACUUGUCGCAGAAAUGGAUGUAUCUAGAACUAAAUUACAUCUAGAUACAUCCAUACCUGCGACAAGUAAUUCGGAACGGAGGGAGUAGAUAAUAAGCUAUGAAGCAUGCCUGUUGAGAAUUGUUUUGCCGCUACUUGCUUUAGGGACAUAUAUUCGUAGACUCACAAGCCACAUAUGCUAGUCCACGAUCUUUACGCAAAUCAGGCCACAUAUGUAGGUUGACAUAAUCUUCUCUCAAUUCUUCUGUAUUUUAUUUCUCCUGGAUGUGAAAAGCAUGUUUCCUUUCUGUCAGCCAUUAUCAUUGGCACAGGGGACUUUAUCUUUUCCUUUCUUUUCAGCCAUUAUCCCACGCAUAGCAAAAUAUCUCAGACUAUACACAACUCCAAUACAAAGUGUAUGCGAUUGCACGACCUGCCACUCAUACGCCAUAAGAGCAAGCUUUUGUACAUCUAUAUCGACUACUAGGGUGUGCUUUGUAUUGGAUAUGCACUAUACUGAUGCUGUUUCCCUUUUCACUAAAUGCUUGGGUAUUUCUUUCGUCGGAUUUGGUUCAUGUAGGUCAUACAACAUAAGCCAUCUGUGCUAUAUCCAGACACCCUUGUUGAUUGAAUCUGACCAAAAUGUAACUAGAUACUGGAUCUUGUGUAAGAUCCCAAUUUCUACUCAUUUGCUGACUUCUGUAUACUACAUCCGCCUUCGUGGAGACAGUAGCUAAGAAAAGUCAAGGCAGGAGCAAGCCAGGAAGGCAUGGAAGCAGCACUGAUGUGGAGGCCACCAACCUGCCAAUCUUGCAGUCCACUUUGUGGCCUCUCUACACCUUUUUUAUCUUGGGCAUCUUUACUUCUGAAGGCCCCCCCAUACACUGCAGUUGUUUUCGCAUCCGAGCUCUUCUCGCUUGCUUCUUUAUUGGAACACUGAUCGGUCAUCAUCCGUGUGGUGACAAUUAGUUCCUGUUCCUAUACCCAUUGAAUGCAUCACAAGUCAGGAUGGUGAAAUUGAUCAGGAAGUGGGUAGCAGGGGUUAUUGCCUUUGUUGCCGGGAGGACUCUCUUGCUAUGAUGAUGGUGACCACCGCAAACCACUGAGUCGACGGAUCGUCAAGUUCGUUUCAAAGAUUAUUAUGGUGACAAGCAAUAGGGAACCAAAGGCCACCACCCAAUUCCGUGUGAUUUGGUGUCACCCCGCUCAAAGUUGGAGCAAAAGCAGCGUCCACUGGAUGUUGGAAAAUUAAGGAUAUAUGCUUUUUGGCCUGUGCCGUGAGGUUUAAUAACACAUGAUGGGAUUAUGGAUUGACGCGACCGGGGGGCACCUGUCAUGCCAUAGGGCUUAGUGGAUGUCAUCUUAUCGUCGACGUACGCCACCAUUAGCGGGAAGGGAGAAGAUUGCCUUGUGGCCAUGAUCUUGACAUGUGGAUCGAUACUACCGGUACCAGUACCAUAGAACAGUAAGCAGUCGGUCCAGAUGGUCAUUUGGCCCGCAAAAUAUGUGCCAUCAGCAAGCCCAUGCUAUAGUUCUUUUUUUAUGGUGAACAGUGGAGGAGCAUGUGCCCCAGAGUUACUGUACUUAUCACCGACCAGAUGCCAGCCUUGUUGUUUUUUCUUUUUACUCUUCUUAUAAAUCAAAUUUCUAUAUUUUUUGCAAAUUCAAUCUUGUAUGCUCAAGAAGUUCAGGGAUUACAA
Non-coding RNA from Triticum urartu, 2481 nucleotides. The record is from RefSeq and is a predicted model, not a curated record. NCBI's taxonomy places the organism in Eukaryota, Viridiplantae, Streptophyta, Magnoliopsida, Poales, Poaceae.